Molecule: ribosomal RNA, 464 nt
Filed under: uncultured Streptococcus sp.
Lineage: Bacteria; Bacillati; Bacillota; Bacilli; Lactobacillales; Streptococcaceae
Description: bacterial SSU rRNA
Rfam family: Bacterial small subunit ribosomal RNA
Source: RNAcentral
CCCGCACAAGGCGGUGGAGCAUUGUGGUUUAAUUCGAAGCAACGCGAAGUAACCUUACCAGGUCUUGACAUCCCGAUGCUAUUUCUAGAGAUAGAAAGUUACUUCGGUACAUCGGUGACAGGUGGUGCAUGGUUGUCGUCAGCUCGUGUCGUGAGAUGUUGGGUUAAGUCCCGCAACGAGCGCAACCCCUAUUGUUAGUUGCCAUCAUUCAGUUGGGCACUCUAGCGAGACUGCCGGUAAUAAACCGGAGGAAGGUGGGGAUGACGUCAAAUCAUCAUGCCCCUUAUGACCUGGGCUACACACGUGCUACAAUGGUUGGUACAACGAGUUGCGAGUCGGUGACGGCGAGCUAAUCUCUUAAAGCCAAUCUCAGUUCGGAUUGUAGGCUGCAACUCGCCUACAUGAAGUCGGAAUCGCUAGUAAUCGCGGAUCAGCACGCCGCGGUGAAUACGUUCCCGGGCCUU